Molecule: long non-coding RNA, 280 nt
Organism: Mauremys mutica (yellowpond turtle)
Lineage: Eukaryota; Metazoa; Chordata; Testudines; Geoemydidae
Exons: 3
Source: RefSeq, a predicted model, not a curated record
CGCAGCGAGGAAGUCAGCAGCAAUCAGGAUUAAGCAGUUUGGCACCAGGGGCACGGAGAAAGUUUUCUCCACAGCAUUACAGUGCUUCCAAAGGGCACAAGGUCACCUAGAACCAGGAAGCUCUCUUCUACUGAACAGAAGGGAUGGCAGUAAUGCUGAUCACAGGGAUACAGGCAUGUUUGCGAGACAUGUUUUGGGGCCCAUUCAGCCCAUUCUUGCCAGAGCAGAAGGGGAAGAUAUUAGGGAGGAAACAGGAAUGGGGGUGGCACAAGCUUCAACC